This 22-nucleotide microRNA is filed under the name Rattus norvegicus (Norway rat). Its description in RNAcentral is "Rno-Mir-92-P2a_5p* (star (passenger))". Lineage: Eukaryota; Metazoa; Chordata; Mammalia; Rodentia; Muridae. The record is from RNAcentral.
ACUGCUGCUAAUCUGCAACUCU